GUAGGUCCCGAGCGUUAUCCGGAUUUAUUGGGCGUAAAGCGAGCGCAGGCGGUUAGAUAAGUCUGAAGUUAAAGGCUGUGGCUUAACCAUAGUACGCUUUGGAAACUGUUUAACUUGAGUGCAGAAGGGGAGAGUGGAAUUCCAUGUGUAGCGGUGAAAUGCGUAGAUAUAUGGAGGAACACCGGUGGCGAAAGCGGCUCUCUGGUCUGUAACUGACGCUGAGGCUCGAAAGCGUGGGGAGCAAACAGGAUUAGAUACCCUGGUAGUCCACGCCGUAAACGAUGAGUGCUAGGUGUUGGGUCCUUUCCGGGACUCAGUGCCGCAGCUAACGCAUUAAGCACUCCGCCUGGGGAGU
This 355-nucleotide ribosomal RNA is filed under the name uncultured bacterium. RNAcentral's name for it is "bacterial SSU rRNA". It matches the Rfam family "Bacterial small subunit ribosomal RNA", at positions 527 to 881 of the family's 1533-position model. The record is from RNAcentral.